UGGGGAAUAUUGCGCAAUGGGGGGAACCCUGACGCAGCCAUGCCGCGUGAAUGAAGAAGGCCUUCGGGUUGUAAAGUUCUUUCGGUAUUGAGGAAGGUUGAUGUGUUAAUAGCACAUCAAAUUGACGUUAAAUACAGAAGAAGCACCGGCUAACUCCGUGCCAGCAGCCGCGGUAAUACGGAGGGUGCGAGCGUUAAUCGGAAUAACUGGGCGUAAAGGGCACGCAGGCGGUUAUUUAAGUGAGGUGUGAAAGCCCUGGGCUUAACCUAGGAAUUGCAUUUCAGGCUGGGUAACUAGAGUACUUUAGGGAGGGGUAGAAUUCCACAUGUAGCGGUGAAAUGCGUAGAGAUGUGGAGGAAUACCGAAGGCGAAGGCAGCCCCUUGGGAAUGUACUGACGCUCAUGUGCGAAAGCGUGGGGAGCAAACAGGAUUAGAUACCCUGGUAGUCCACGCUGUAAACGCUGUCGAUUUGGGGGUUGGGGUUUAACUCUGGCGCCCGUAGCUAACGUGAUAAAUCGACCGCCUGGGGAGUACGGCCGCAAGGUUA
Molecule: ribosomal RNA, 547 nt
Filed under: uncultured bacterium
Lineage: Bacteria
Description: bacterial SSU rRNA
Rfam family: Bacterial small subunit ribosomal RNA
Source: RNAcentral